GAACCGGGCAAACGUUAUUCGGAAUUACUGGGCUUAAAGGGUGCGUAGGCGGCGCUUCAAGUCGGGUGUGAAAUCCCCCAGCUCAACUGGGGAACUGCGCCCGAAACUGGAGUGCUUGAGGGAGAUAGAGGUGAGCGGAACGAAUGGUGGAGCGGUGAAAUGCGUUGAUAUCAUUCGGAACACCCGUGGCGAAAGCGGCUCACUGGGUCUCUUCUGACGCUGAGGCACGAAAGCUAGGGGAGCGAACGGGGAUUAGAUACCCCGGUAGUCCUAGCUGUAAACGAUGAGCACUAGAUCGGGGAGCCCCUCACAGCCUCCCCCCGAUCGUAGCGAAAGUGUUAAGUGCUCCGCCUGGGGAGUAUGGUCGCAAGGCUG
Molecule: ribosomal RNA, 375 nt
Filed under: uncultured organism
Description: partial 16S ribosomal RNA
Rfam family: Bacterial small subunit ribosomal RNA
Source: RNAcentral